UACGUAGGGGGCAAGCGUUGUCCGGAUUUAUUGGGCGUAAAGAGCGUGUAGGCGGUCAGGUAGGUCCGUUGUGAAAACUCGAGGCUCAACCUCGAGACGCCGAUGGAAACCAUCUGACUAGAGUCCGGAAGAGGAGAGUGGAAUUCCUGGUGUAGCGGUGAAAUGCGCAGAUAUCAGGAAGAACACCCGUGGCUAAGGCGGCUCUCUAGUACGGUACUGACGCUGAGGUGCGAAAGCGUGGGGAGCAAACAGG
Molecule: ribosomal RNA, 253 nt
Filed under: uncultured bacterium
Lineage: Bacteria
Description: partial 16S ribosomal RNA
Rfam family: Bacterial small subunit ribosomal RNA
Source: RNAcentral